Molecule: ribosomal RNA, 461 nt
Filed under: uncultured bacterium
Lineage: Bacteria
Description: partial 16S ribosomal RNA
Rfam family: Bacterial small subunit ribosomal RNA
Source: RNAcentral
CCUACGGGUGGCAGCAGUGAGGAAUAUUGGUCAAUGGGCUUACGCCUGAACCAGCCAAGUCGCGUGAGGGAAGACUGCCCUAUGGGUUGUACACCUCUUUUGUGCGGGAGCAAUAAUGGUCACGUGUGGCCAGACGAGAGUACCGUACGAAUAAGCAUCGGCUAACUCCGUGCCAGCAGCCGCGGUAAUACGGGGGAUGCAAGCGUUAUCCGGAUUUAUUGGGUUUAACGGGUGCGUAGGCUGUGAGGUAAGUCAGCGGUGAAAUGCCCCCGCUCAACGGGGUGAAGUGCCAUUGAUACUGCCUUGCUGGAAUGCGGAUGCCGUGGGAGGAAUGUGUGGUGUAGCGGUGAAAUGCAUAGAUAUCACACAGAACACCGAUUGCGAAGGCAUCUCACGAAUCCGCGAUUGACGCUGAUGCACGAAAGCGUGGGUAUCAAACAGGAUUAGAUACCCUAGUAGUC